This 74-nucleotide transfer RNA is filed under the name Enterococcus hirae. It matches the Rfam family "tRNA". Rfam says of the family: Transfer RNA (tRNA) molecules are approximately 80 nucleotides in length. Lineage: Bacteria; Bacillati; Bacillota; Bacilli; Lactobacillales; Enterococcaceae. The record is from RNAcentral.
GGCCUUAGCUCAGCUGGGAGAGCGCCUGCUUUGCACGCAGGAGGUCAGCGGUUCGAUCCGCUAGGCUCCAUUAA